This 89-nucleotide transfer RNA is filed under the name Planctomycetota bacterium. RNAcentral describes it as "Planctomycetes bacterium (bioreactor metagenome) tRNA-Leu". It matches the Rfam family "tRNA". Rfam says of the family: Transfer RNA (tRNA) molecules are approximately 80 nucleotides in length. Their secondary structure includes four short double-helical elements and three loops (D, anti-codon, and T loops). Further hydrogen bonds mediate the characteristic L-shaped molecular structure. tRNAs have two regions of fundamental functional importance: the anti-codon, which is responsible for specific mRNA codon recognition, and the 3' end, to which the tRNAs corresponding amino acid is attached (by aminoacyl-tRNA synthetases). tRNAs cope with the degeneracy of the genetic code in two manners: having more than one tRNA (with a specific anti-codon) for a particular amino acid; and 'wobble' base-pairing, i.e. permitting non-standard base-pairing at the 3rd anti-codon position. Lineage: Bacteria; Pseudomonadati; Planctomycetota. The record is from RNAcentral.
GCCCGGGUGGCGGAAUUGGCAGACGCGCAAGGUUCAGGUCCUUGUUCCUUUAAACAGGAGUGGGGGUUCGACUCCCCCCUCGGGCACCA